Molecule: RNA transcript, 1246 nt
Organism: Drosophila ficusphila
Lineage: Eukaryota; Metazoa; Arthropoda; Insecta; Diptera; Drosophilidae
Gene: BI-1
Gene name: bax inhibitor 1
Exons: 5
Source: RefSeq, a predicted model, not a curated record
CAACACUGUAACCUGAUAAAAGUGAAGAAAAUUUUGUGAAAUACAUAAAAGAAAACGAAGAAAAUACAGCUUUGCUCAAGUAGGCCAAUAAUAUCAACAGUCAGCUUCAAAACUUUACGCCUUUUAGUUCACAUUCACUCCUCCGUUUGAUCGACAAGCAAACUAUAACUGAUAAAUAGGAAAAGCAAGUAAAAAAAAAAAAAGACCAUAAUGGCAGAGACUGCGAACAAUAUCCAUGAACGAUUCCAGACGUUCAUGAACGGCCUCGGCGACCGUUAUGAGCCCUACGUGCGCGAACACCUGUCUAAGGUGUACAUGGUCCUGGGCAGCACUGCCGCCGCCACUGCGAUGGGAGCCUUGCUCCAGAUGCGCGACUUCCUCGACCUGGGGGUUCUGGCGGCAGUGGCCACUUUGAUCCUGGUCCUGGGUCUUCACUUCUACAAGGACGACGGAAAGAACUACUAUACGCGAUUGAGUAUGCUGUAUGCCUUUGGAUUCUGCUCCGGUCAGACUCUUGGACCGCUUCUCGGCUAUAUAUGCAGCAUUAAUCCGGCCAUAAUUCUUUCGGCUCUCACCGGCACAUUUGUCACCUUCAUUACGCUAUCUUUGGCUGCUCUGCUAGCCGAGCAGGGAAAAUAUCUUUAUCUCGGCGGAAUGUUGGUCAGCGUCAUUAAUACCAUGGCCCUACUGAGUCUCUUUAAUAUGGUCUUUAAGUCCUACUUCGUGCAAGUGACUCAACUUUACGUCGGCGUUUUUGUGAUGGCUGCUUUCAUCGUCUACGACACCCAAAACAUAGUAGUGAAGUGCCGGAAUGGAAACCGAGAUGUAGUGCAGCAUGCUUUAGAUCUGUUCUUCGAUGUGCUGAGCAUGUUCCGCCGUUUACUAAUUAUCCUGACGCAGAAGCUCAAGACAUUCAUGGUUUAAGGCGCUUCAUGCCAACAGUCGCUGAUCACUUUGCAAAAGUUUUCCAUAAUGAAAUUCGCCGUGAAAAACCUUUUCAAACGGAGGAGCGAAAACAGAAUGAACGCCGUAAGAAAAACUAAGAAUGAGGCUUAAGGAUGCCAACCACCACAACAAAAACAUCUGACAAGGUUUAAAAAGGUUGGCAGUAAUAUCUUUUUUAAAAUUUAAUCGCCUACGAAAUAGAAAAAUGCCGUGUACAUUUGGCUUUAAAUUUAUACACAAAUAUUUAAUAUGAAACCCAUGCAAAUUCCCUAUUCAAUAAAAGCCACUACAGUAAACCAUC